This 74-nucleotide small RNA is filed under the name Gammaproteobacteria bacterium. RNAcentral's name for it is "sX9 sRNA". It matches the Rfam family "Xanthomonas sRNA sX9". Lineage: Bacteria; Pseudomonadati; Pseudomonadota; Gammaproteobacteria. The record is from RNAcentral.
AUGUAUUACUCAUACACUGCGGUUCCUGCGCUCCGUGCGCUUUGCCCUAAGGCCGCUCGCUACGGUUUUUGGCA